Molecule: long non-coding RNA, 1848 nt
Organism: Daphnia magna
Lineage: Eukaryota; Metazoa; Arthropoda; Branchiopoda; Diplostraca; Daphniidae
Exons: 3
Source: RefSeq, a predicted model, not a curated record
ACUCUUCGUAGGUAUGUUCCGCUUGCCCGAAACAGUAGUGGCACCAAAAGUCGAUAUUUUCCUUUGGAGCAACCACCAAAUACUUGGCAGGGACAAGAUGAACAACUCCUGCACUCUGGGAGUCGACGAGCGUCGACAUACUUCACUUGAUCGUUGUAAUCAUAAUGCACAAGUUUUUUGGCAUUACCAUGGCACCGAAGCAUGACAAAUUCAGAAUCGCUGUCGAGCAGAUCAGAGUAUGCCCUGCAACAAACGAGCAUAAUUAAACUAAAGAAAUUAUGGACUAACAUAAAUAAAAUUAAAUGAUGGAAUAAAACUUACAGUCUGAUGUGACUCGCUGUGUCAGCUAUAUUCAAAUUGACAGCCAACUGAACAGACCUGGAGGCCACGUAGACUUUUUUUAUGUUUACCUUCUCCAAUUCAGUUGCCUUUUCUUGGUACCAAUUGGGGCCAGCAUACAAGAACAUAUGUACUGUAACUGUGGGGACAGGAGCAGCUACUUAAACCAAAUAGGAAAAGGUACGUUCAAUUCUAUUUUUAAGAACAAUUGUAAUGUACGGUAGUUACCCCUAGGCCUUGUGGAGACACUCCUGGCAUUUCGUAAAGAUUUUUCCCUCAUACCAGCUCUUGUAGCCAUGUGAGCUGGCAAGCUGUUCAGUGGUGAAUGACAACCUGCAGCUGGGCUUGCUAGAAAGUUAUCCAAGUUGCUUGUCCUCGCUGAAGUCAACGGCCCAGCAUGACUAGAUUCAAGUGAUGCAUAUUCUCUUUUGUUGUUGGUGUAUAUGGCGUAGGACAGUGCUACAAGGCCUUUUGCUGAAAAUAAGAAACAAAAACAUAUUUUACUUUGAGGAAGUAUGAAAACAGCAAGUAAAGUACAAACCUUCACAGCCAGUUUGAUACUUUGUGUAAUCAAGCAUGCUUUCCACAAAGUCUUGGUUGGCAGUCAUGUUCAACAGCUACUGCUAAUUUAAUUAUUCACGUACAAACUAAUACACAAUAAAGAAUGUAGGGUAGUAGAGAUUCUACAUUUAACUAAUUUACCAUGUCAGAAAACCUGACAAGUGGCCGGCCGGUCGACCAGGCUGAAUUGUCUGCUCCAGUGGUACUGCUUUAAUGGGGUUGUAUUUUGUAUACCACUUUUACAGCAAGACAGCUUCAGCAACGUAUAUAGUUUCAGCAACUUGUGCCGCGUUGCCAAAUCAUGGUUCAUGGGAAAGCAACAUAGUCUCCAAGUCUCAGGUCCAACCUUGGACUUAUUUAGCGGUCGCCCAUUAGGUCCAGGGUUGGACCUGAGCCGUUUGCCGUAACUAUUGGUAAUCGAGUCUCCAAUCGAUUCUCGAAGCCCCUGUCAAGAACCAGGGCAGCCAUGGUGUGAGCUAAAAUGUGAGCUAAAAUAAUUUCUUCCCAUAUUGUCAUGGCAAAUGACUAUAAAGGUAAAUGAAUAGUUUGAAAAUUGAGGCAUACUGGUGAUGAAUCAAACCUGAAUACCGUACUGCUAACAGGUGUUGAGUAUAUUCAUACAAGUAAGAAAUAGGUGUGUGGUUAAUGUGAUGCUCAAUCAGUUUGUUACUGCAGCUUAAGUGCUUUCAUUAACAACAAUAACCGACGUCUAGCAAUUUUAAACAAUGCACUAAAGUCCUCUAUUUGAGAACGUUUCUACAACCUGUGUCUAAUAAAAACAUCCUUUUUUCAUGACAUUUCUUUUCAUUUCAACUUGGCUUCAGUCAGACAGUAUGCUGAAGACAUAUUGGCAAAUGAGCCAAAACUUCAUAUCCUUGUCAACAAGGCUGGAUGUGCUGCAAUCGAAAAGAAAUUCACAUUGAAUGGGCUUGAGAACGAAAUGCAAUC